ACUUUUAAAGGAUAAAAGCAAUCCAUUGGUCUUAGGCACCAAAACUCUUGGUGCAAAUCCAAGUAAAAGUU
This 71-nucleotide transfer RNA is filed under the name Hippocampus bargibanti (pygmy seahorse). RNAcentral describes it as "tRNA-Leu". It matches the Rfam family "tRNA". Rfam says of the family: Transfer RNA (tRNA) molecules are approximately 80 nucleotides in length. Their secondary structure includes four short double-helical elements and three loops (D, anti-codon, and T loops). Further hydrogen bonds mediate the characteristic L-shaped molecular structure. tRNAs have two regions of fundamental functional importance: the anti-codon, which is responsible for specific mRNA codon recognition, and the 3' end, to which the tRNAs corresponding amino acid is attached (by aminoacyl-tRNA synthetases). tRNAs cope with the degeneracy of the genetic code in two manners: having more than one tRNA (with a specific anti-codon) for a particular amino acid; and 'wobble' base-pairing, i.e. permitting non-standard base-pairing at the 3rd anti-codon position. The record is from RNAcentral. Lineage: Eukaryota; Metazoa; Chordata; Actinopteri; Syngnathiformes; Syngnathidae.